GUGAUACCAUUAAGCCCCUCCUGCAUUUCCGGAUCGUCUGCACCAACACUCUCCAGACGACAGGCCCCGGGUUCAUGUGCAACUUCCACAAAACAAGUGCUCAAAAAAUGCUAGUUAAAUUCAACUUGAACUGGAUCAUUCUGUCUGCAGAGAGUGCUUGCUGUGGCAGAGUUAAUUUCAUGCUUCCAGGAGCAUCUAUGGUCUCCGCUGUGCCCGCUGCCGACCACCUCUGGGACCGUGGACGCCCCAUGUCAGAGCCUCGUGUGCUGACUCGAUCUGGCCUCAUCUCCAGAACCGGGAGACUGGGGAGGGUGAUGCGUCUGACCGCUGAGUUCCCGGCCCCUCCCACUGUGUCCGGUAUACACCUGCUUCCUCGGAGAUUUCCUGCAACAGGACCCUGACGAAGACCAGAUACCCGUUUGGAAAACCUGGAGUCCAGGGGAGCACCCUGCAUGGACAUGAUCCCGACUCGCUCCGGCUGGUGCUGUCAGACCCGACGUGGGAAGCGGCGCUCAUCCAGGUGGGGCUGCCGGGCCAGGUGAGAGAAUGCUGUCCCAGGCUCACAGGCCCAGACAGGUGCAACUCUGCGGGUUGGCGCCAGUCCCCAGAAGCAGGCCACAGAGCCAGCGCGAAGAAAGAUGCACCGGAAGGCACGCCCCCUCAACGCUUCAUCCCAGGCCAGCUCUCUAUCGCUUCAUCUUCACCAGAUUCUGGGAGGGUCUCAUUCCUGCCAUCUUUGUUUGUGUUCCGACAGAAGCAUUUCAUGUGGGAGAAUCACAUUUUCUACUGCCCUCCAUUGAACUUGUAUUUGUUGAACACCCAGCUUCUCAGGGCCUUUCAAACAGUCGCGGUGCGCCCAGCGGCCUCUAGAAAGGGUGGGAGGGGCUGCUAUGGGGCAUCCUGUGUGAACGCUCCCAUUACUGACUUCCGAAAUUACUCCAGGACCCAGUUACAUUCUAUUACAAUCAUUACCCACCCCUAAAAAGACGGCCCGAAACCAAACUCAGAGUUCGAAAAUAUUUCAAUACGCAUUGUUUGUGGACCAUUUUUAUAUUCUUUAAGCUAAAGAAACAGUAACUUUAAAUAUAGUGCAAGAUUUGUGUUGAUGUAGGUGUCAGUUUGGACAUCUUUAUAUUCAGAUGUCCUCGUUCCAAAACCUGUCUUGGUGUUUCCCAUGAGCACUGCCUUUGGGCCACGUUUGUGUUUGCAGACAUGACCAAAAAAAUGCGCUGAAACUGUCCGAUCACCCGGAACAAUGAGAUCCUGUGGCUGCCCCUGACGUGGUCUAGCUGCGUGCACGCUCCUGCUCGGACACAGAGCAUGAGUCUCAUGUUGAUGCCUUCAUGGUCAUUACCGUUUGGCAAGUCAAUGCUCUUAGACCCAGUCUGCAAACAGAAGCAGCGUACAAAUAUGCAUACCUACAAAAUAAAGAGCUAUGUUCCUUAAAAUGACACCAAGUGUUCUUCAGAUUCUGGCCUGAAAUUGCUUUUAGGGCCACGUCUCCAAGCCCUGCCUGUGUAUAUCCCAGCCUGAAUCUCAUCAGAAUGGCCACCGUGUUCCAAACGUCCACAAGCAGCCUUCGCCUCCAUCUGCACUGAGCUCCUUCCCGAGAGGUUCUGUCCCCACCGCCAUCCACCCAUGGAAAUCCCACCACCCUUUCAAAUAAACCUU
Non-coding RNA from Leptonychotes weddellii (Weddell seal), 1671 nucleotides. The record is from RefSeq and is a predicted model, not a curated record. Lineage: Eukaryota; Metazoa; Chordata; Mammalia; Carnivora; Phocidae.